This 762-nucleotide ribosomal RNA is filed under the name uncultured bacterium. RNAcentral's name for it is "bacterial SSU rRNA". It matches the Rfam family "Bacterial small subunit ribosomal RNA", at positions 8 to 782 of the family's 1533-position model. The record is from RNAcentral.
AGAGUUUGAUCAUGGCUCAGAGUGAACGCUGGCGGCGUGCUUAACACAUGCAAGUCGAACGGUAACAGAUAGUACUUGUACUAUGCUGACGAGUGGCGCACGGGUGAGUAAUAUAUAGUUAAUCUGCCUCAAAGACCGGGAUAGCCAUUGGAAACGAUGAUUAAUACUGGAUAUACCUUUUAAAUAUAAGUUUAAAAGGGAAAUGUUUUUUCGCUUUGAGAUGAGACUAUAUCGCAUCAGUUAGUUGGUGGGGUAAGAGCCUACCAAGACAAUGACGCGUAGCGGGUUUGAGAGGAUGAUCCGCCACACUGGUACUGAGACACGGACCAGACUCCUACGGGAGGCAGCAGUGAGGAAUAUUGCACAAUGGGGGAAACCCUGAUGCAGCAACGCCGCGUGGAGGAUGACGCAUUUCGGUGUGUAAACUCCUUUUAUAUGUCAAGAAAAUGACGGUAGCAUAUGAAUAAGCACCGGCUAACUCCGUGCCAGCAGCCGCGGUAAUACGGAGGGUGCAAGCGUUACUCGGAAUCACUGGGCGUAAAGGACGCGUAGGCGGGUUAGUAAGUCAGGUGUGAAAUCCUACAGCUUAACUGUAGAACUGCACUUGAAACUACUAAUCUAGAGUAUGGGAGGGGGGAGAUGGAAUUAGUGGUGUAGGGGUAAAAUCCGUAGAUAUCACUAGGAAUACCGAAAGCGAAAGGCGAUCUCCUGGAACAUUACUGACGCUAAGGCGUGAAAGCGUGGGGAGCAAACGGGAUUAGA